This 490-nucleotide ribosomal RNA is filed under the name uncultured bacterium. Its description in RNAcentral is "bacterial SSU rRNA". It matches the Rfam family "Bacterial small subunit ribosomal RNA", at positions 28 to 531 of the family's 1533-position model. The record is from RNAcentral.
GACGAACGCUGGCGGCGUGCUUAACACAUGCAAGUCGAACGGUGACGAGGAGCUUGCUCCUCCGAUCAGUGGCGAACGGGUGAGUAACGCGUGAGCAACCUGCCUUUCAGAGGGGGACAACAGUUGGAAACGACUGCUAAUACCGCAUAAUGUAUUCGAGUGGCAUCACUUGGAUACCAAAGAUUUUAUCGCUGAAAGAUGGGCUCACGUCUGAUUAGCUAGUUGGUGAGGUAAUGGCUCACCAAGGCUGCGAUCAGUAGCCGGACUGAGAGGUCGAACGGCCACAUUGGGACUGAGAUACGGCCCAGACUCCUACGGGAGGCAGCAGUGGGGAAUAUUGGGCAAUGGGCGCAAGCCUGACCCAGCAACGCCGCGUGAAGGAAGAAGGCUUUCGGUUGUAAACUUCUUUUGGUCAGGGACGAAACAAAUGACGGUACCUGCAGAAUAAGCUCCGGCUAACUACGUGCCAGCAGCCGCGGUAAAACGUCUA